Molecule: ribosomal RNA, 200 nt
Filed under: uncultured bacterium
Lineage: Bacteria
Description: partial 16S ribosomal RNA
Rfam family: Bacterial small subunit ribosomal RNA
Source: RNAcentral
AGCGAACGCUGGCGGCAGGCUUAACACAUGCAAGUCGAACGGGCACUUCGGUGCUAGUGGCAGACGGGUGAGUAACACGUGGGAACGUACCUUUCGGUUCGGAAUAAUUCAGGGAAACUUGGACUAAUACCGGAUACGCCCUUCGGGGAAGAUUAUCGCCGAUAGAUCGGCCCGGCGUCUGAUUAGCUAGUUGGUGAGGU